RNAcentral lists this long non-coding RNA (2442 nucleotides) under Pan troglodytes (chimpanzee). RNAcentral's name for it is "long non-coding RNA NONPTRT013869". Lineage: Eukaryota; Metazoa; Chordata; Mammalia; Primates; Hominidae. The record is from RNAcentral.
GUUGAGCCAGGGCCAAGGCCUGCAGCCACUUGAGUCUCAUUCACCUCAGCUGCGGCUCCAGGAACUAUGCGUCAGCAGCAUUAAGUGCAGGCUGAAGGCCCCCAUCUGAGAAGACAGUGCACUCUCCCUGAGUUCACCUCUCAUCAGGCUUGGGUUUUCAUGAAAUCAGUCCUCCGAGAUGCCUGUUCACUCAUCCCUGUCUGGGAAGGCAAAAAUCCUAAUGGCCAUGUCGACAUACCCAGCUGUGACAAGAUGAAGGACCACGAUUUGGGACUCUUCAGGGACAGACUUGGCCACCUGGUGAUGUGCCACCUUCAGCAGCUCUGUCUUCACACGUCCAGCCUGCGCCUGCUUCAUGUAGUACACAAGACUGCUCUGGUACACCACGACCAUGACCUUCACAUGAGGCCAGUCUCCCCGCCCCUCACCUGGGCCAUAGAAAAAGGUAAGAGCCUGAGAAGCAGCUCCUGGCCUCUCCUCCCACCUCGGAGCCUUCCGAGACCCAUCACAGUGCCAGCUCCACUCUGCCCAGUUUGAGGAGGGAAUUGGCAUCUAGACUGAUAGUUUCUUCAUUUCUAUGGGCUUCUGGGAACAGCCACUGAAACUGCCUCCUUGUUACCGAAAAAAAACAGUUGCUUUGGAUUUCCCCUUUCAGAUUCCUCUGCCCAUCUCCUGCCAGGUGCCCCUCAUCUCCAGCUGACUGAUUUGUCAUCUGGGUUCUUUCUCCCUGCCUGCCUGUUUGCCUGGCUUUGACAGCGCCCUCUCUAAGACGUUACCUUCCUCCAUAUUCACUAACUGCUUCUAGAACAGCAUUUGUCCCUGCAGCAGACUCAGGCUUCCAGGUUACUGUGGCCGAGCCUCAGAGUCUUGGAACAAAAUUGCUUUAAACUGAGUGCUUUUGAUGGAGAAAACAAUUUAAUUCAAAAUUAAUCCAAGAACACCAUAGCCUCCCCCUAUCUGAUUGCUCUCCUUUCCUUCGCACUUCGCCCCACCCUCCCCUGUAGCACUGGCUUAGUCGGCAGUACAACGUGGAGACGUCAAUCUCUCACCCCCCUCUGUCUCGCAGUGGGAGGGCUCCCUGCUUCUUGGCCCACCUCAACUCUUGCUAAAUAUAUCUUUGGCAAUUUAAAUAUUUUUAUAACAGUUUGUGAAGGGAAAAGAACGUGAGGCUUGGUUGUUUCUGAUCACUCAAGGACCUCUCAGCAGUGCUGACGGUCCUCCUCUGCAGGUGCCAGCACUGGGUGGUACUCACACUCCCUGUGUUCCGUCUGCCACCCUGUGUACCACAUGUCACUGUUUUUUUUUCUUUCUUUCAAGCGAUUCUCCUGCCUCAGCCUCCCAAGUAGCUGGGAUUACAGGUGCCCACCACCACGCCCGGCUAAUUUUUGUAUUUUUAGUAGAGACGGGGUUUCACAAUGUUGGUCAGGCUGGUCUUGAACUCCUGACCUCGUGAUCCACUUGCCUUGGCCGCGUCACUAUCCUUAAGAAAUUGUUGACAAUAAUUAUUCAUCAGUGUGUCUUUCUGAAAAUAAAAUGAGAAAAGUGCCUAGUUUCUAAGAUGUACAAGUUGCAUUUUUGUCACCUGGUUAUCUAGAUGACACUAAUGCAUGGCCAAAAGCAUUCCAAGUGUUUCUCUCUGUAGCCAGCCUGGCCCGAGCCCCCCACAAUGACCAUCGAAGCCCCACGUGGUCCUGGAAAGCAGCGUGUUCAUGCUGUGGAAUGUAAAGAGCUGUUUCCCAUCACCGGGGCCAGCAGUUCACAUGUGAGGCCACGCCUGGCACCAGAUGCUGUUGUAAGAACUUCGUGUAUAUUCAUUCAUUUAAUCCUCACAAUUGCAUGAAACCGUUACGUCCAUCCUGUUUUGUAUUGUUAUGAGGUAGUCAGUUAAGAUGGAGCCAAAAGAGGCAGAGGAGAGGCUCGGGAUAACAAAUGUACUCACUAUUCCUAGAGACAGGAGGCAGGGCAGGCCACACAAGGCCAUGUGGGCGAGGCACCUGAGUGUUCAGGAGGCAGAAGACAGGAGUCGGCGGGGAGUAGGGGGAAGCAUGAAGCCAGGGCCUUUCUUUGGGUGUCUGAGGGAAAGGCAAGGCAGGGUGGGUGAAUUGUUUAGACUGGCUAGUUUGUGUCAUUUCAGUAAGCUCUAAGCUAUAAGGAUGGGGGUGUCCCUAGGUGCCUGGUGCUCGGCCCUGGGGUGAUGAAGGCAGAGGAAUGUUGCUUCUGGUGUGUGUGGGCCUGAGAGAGGAGGCCUGGCUCUGGCUGGUUACUACAUAUCAAAGACGUGCCCAGCUCAGUCUUUGCUGUCUCUUAAGAACUGGCCAGCCCCGGCUGGGCGCAGUGGCCAUGCCUGUAAUCCCAGCACUUUGGGAGGCGGAGACGGGCGGAUCACGAGGUCAGGAGAUUGAGACCAUCCUGACUAACACGGUGAAACCCCGUCUCUACUAA